RNAcentral lists this ribosomal RNA (369 nucleotides) under uncultured bacterium. RNAcentral describes it as "bacterial SSU rRNA". It matches the Rfam family "Bacterial small subunit ribosomal RNA", at positions 28 to 410 of the family's 1533-position model. The record is from RNAcentral.
AAUGAACGUUGGCGGCGUGGAUUAGGCAUGCAAGUCGCACGGGCCGCAAGGCCAGUGGCGGAAGGGUGAGUAAUGCGACGGUAACCAACCCCAGGAAUGGGUAUAGCCGCGGGAAACUGCGGGUAAUCCCCAGCGAUGUGCAGGAUCGGCAUCGAUUCUUCACCAAAGUUCCGGCGUCCUGGGACGGGCCGUUGUGGUAUUAGCUAGUUGGCGGGGUAACGGCCCACCAAGGCUUCGAUGCCUACCGGGCGUGCGAGCGUGGCCCGGCACACUGGGACUGAGACACUGCCCAGACUCCUACGGGAGGCUGCAGUCGAGAAUCUUCGGCAAUGGGCGCAAGCCUGACCGAGCGACGCCGCGUGGAGGAUG